RNAcentral lists this ribosomal RNA (384 nucleotides) under uncultured bacterium. RNAcentral's name for it is "bacterial SSU rRNA". It matches the Rfam family "Bacterial small subunit ribosomal RNA", at positions 29 to 429 of the family's 1533-position model. The record is from RNAcentral.
AACGAACGCUGGCGGCAUGCCUAACACAUGCAAGUCGAACGGGAUCCUGGUUUCGGCCAGGUGAGAGUGGCGGACGGGUGAGUAACGCGUGGGAACCUGCCCAGUGGUGGGGGAUAACUGCGGGAAACUGCAGCUAAUACCGCAUGAGCCCGAAAGGGGAAAGAUUGAUCGCCAUUGGAGGGGCCCGCGUUCGAUUAAGUAGUUGGUGAGGUAACGGCUCACCAAAGCCUUCGAUCGAUAGCUGGUCUGAGAGGAUGAUCAGCCACACUGGGACUGAGAUACGGCCCAGACUCCUACGGGAGGCAGCAGUGGGGAAUAUUGGACAAUGGGGGCAACCCUGAUCCAGCGACGCCGCGUGUGUGAAGAAGGCCUGCGGGUUGUAAA